GGGCCUUGUACACACCGCCCGUCACACCAUGGGAGUGGAUUGCACCAGAAGUGGAUAGUCUAACCUUCGGGAGGACGUUCACCACGGUGUGGUUCAUGACUGGGGUGAAGUCGUAACAAGGUAGCCGUAGGGGAACCUGCGGCUGGAUCACCUCCUUAACGA
This 162-nucleotide ribosomal RNA is filed under the name Alcanivorax sp. HI0044. Its description in RNAcentral is "partial 16S ribosomal RNA". It matches the Rfam family "Bacterial small subunit ribosomal RNA", at positions 1376 to 1533 of the family's 1533-position model. Lineage: Bacteria; Pseudomonadati; Pseudomonadota; Gammaproteobacteria; Oceanospirillales; Alcanivoracaceae. The record is from RNAcentral.